Molecule: ribosomal RNA, 92 nt
Filed under: Pteropus alecto (black flying fox)
Lineage: Eukaryota; Metazoa; Chordata; Mammalia; Chiroptera; Pteropodidae
Source: RNAcentral
AUCUAUGGCCAUGCCACCCGGAAGCUAAGCAGGGUCAUGCCUGGUUAGUACUUGGAUGGGAGACCACCUAGCAAGACCAGGUACUGUAGGCA